CCUACGGGGGGCUGCAGUGGGGAACAUUGGACAAUGGGGGGAACCCUGAUCCAGCCAUGCCGCGUGUGUGAAGAAGGCCCUCGGGUUGUAAAGCACUUUCAGUGAGGAAGAACGCCUGGUGGUUAAUACCCAUCAGGAAAGACAUCACUCACAGAAGAAGCACCGGCUAACUCCGUGCCAGCAGCCGCGGUAAUACGGAGGGUGCGAGCGUUAAUCGGAAUUACUGGGCGUAAAGCGCGCGUAGGUGGCUUGAUAAGCCGGUUGUGAAAGCCCCGGGCUCAACCUGGGAACGGCAUCCGGAACUGUCAAGCUAGAGUGCAGGAGAGGAAGGUAGAAUUCCCGGUGUAGCGGUGAAAUGCGUAGAGAUCGGGAGGAAUACCAGUGGCGAAGGCGGCCUUCUGGACUGACACUGACACUGAGGUGCGAAAGCGUGGGUAGCAAACAGGAUUAGAUACCCUGGUAGUC
RNAcentral lists this ribosomal RNA (465 nucleotides) under Vreelandella stevensii. Its description in RNAcentral is "partial 16S ribosomal RNA". It matches the Rfam family "Bacterial small subunit ribosomal RNA", at positions 338 to 795 of the family's 1533-position model. Lineage: Bacteria; Pseudomonadati; Pseudomonadota; Gammaproteobacteria; Oceanospirillales; Halomonadaceae. The record is from RNAcentral.